This 73-nucleotide transfer RNA is filed under the name Patescibacteria group bacterium. Its description in RNAcentral is "tRNA-Thr". It matches the Rfam family "tRNA". Rfam says of the family: Transfer RNA (tRNA) molecules are approximately 80 nucleotides in length. The record is from RNAcentral.
GCCACCUUAGCUCAGUUGGUAGAGCAUCCCCUUCGUAAGGGGAGGGUCCCCGGUUCAAGCCCGGGAGGUGGCU